This is a non-coding RNA of Brassica rapa (field mustard), 149 nucleotides long. The record is from RefSeq and is marked provisional. NCBI's taxonomy places the organism in Eukaryota, Viridiplantae, Streptophyta, Magnoliopsida, Brassicales, Brassicaceae.
AGUGUCUUAAAACAUUUCCAAUUCCACUGUAAAAUGGAGUGGACUAUGCAAUUGUGAACAAACAAAAAAUUCAUUACUAUAUAUGCAGUAAUGUUUUUAUGUUUAUUCACAACUGCAUAAUUCACUCUAUUUUGCAGUAGAUUUUGCAG